Molecule: long non-coding RNA, 921 nt
Organism: Solanum stenotomum
Lineage: Eukaryota; Viridiplantae; Streptophyta; Magnoliopsida; Solanales; Solanaceae
Exons: 3
Source: RefSeq, a predicted model, not a curated record
UUUUUAAUCUCUUCUUCUUCUAGCUUCUUCUACUUUCUCAGGAAUCAGGAACAGAUUACUUUUGUUGCAUCCGCAAGCUGAUUUUGCGGGUCAAAAAAUACCUAUCUUAUAUCGAAACUUCAAUUUUUAGCAAGCAAAUGGUAUGAGAAACUUUUAUGCGUUAUUCUUUUUGCCCCUUGAAGGAUAGUUAAGUGUUUCAACAAGGAAUUGUCUAGCGAACAGAAAUGACGAUGUUGAUCAUAAGCAUCACUUUAAGUUUGUAAGCAUUUCAUUUGUUUGAUUUCUAGAGAUAUACAAGUUCAAUGUUGUUGCCACCAUUUUCUAUUUCUGAACUCCCUUCAGGAGAACAGAAACUCAAAAUCCUACAAAAGGAGAAUGAAUAAGGAAAUACCUUGUGGACACCCAACUGAAGAUUGCCACAACUAGCUUAAUGCAUCAAUAGUGGAUCAAAUUUCAAAUUUAAUUUAACUUGCUGGCAACCAGGAUGAAACUACAUUUGAUUCUGCUUGUUCGAUAUGAUAGAUUAGUGUGUUUUCCUCACAAGAUCCACUUUGUAGUGAACGACUCAGUAUGAUGGACAUAAGGAGCUUUAGCAUUGUCAGAUGUUCUUGGAGUGGCAUUUUUCAAUUCAAUAUAUGCUUUAGAGAAGAAUACAAACUGAUAUAUACUCCAAAUAGAGGGCAAGAGGUGGGCUUAGAUUGAAAUUUUGAUUUAGAGAAUUACAGGAGCUGGACUUCACUUCUAUUGGAAAGGUAUCAUGCCGGUUGGAUCAUCAAUCGAAGCAAAAGUUGAUAUAUUUUGAUAUUUCUAUUAUUCUUGUAAUUCAAAGCAUCAUCCUCUUUGUACAUAUCAUUUAGGUGUUUUUUAAUUACUUUAGGAAGGAUGAAUUCUUGAAUUGCAAUUAGCAAUAUUUGUAGUUGU